This 73-nucleotide transfer RNA is filed under the name Stegodyphus mimosarum. It matches the Rfam family "tRNA". Rfam says of the family: Transfer RNA (tRNA) molecules are approximately 80 nucleotides in length. Their secondary structure includes four short double-helical elements and three loops (D, anti-codon, and T loops). The record is from Rfam by way of RNAcentral. Lineage: Eukaryota; Metazoa; Arthropoda; Arachnida; Araneae; Eresidae.
GCCUUCGAGGUGUAACGAUCAGCAUACUGGGCUCUUAUUCAAGAGGUCCGAGGUUCGAGUCCCGGCGAGGACA